Eurytemora carolleeae is the source of this 306-nucleotide long non-coding RNA. RefSeq lists it as uncharacterized. NCBI's taxonomy places the organism in Eukaryota, Metazoa, Arthropoda, Copepoda, Calanoida, Temoridae. The transcript has 3 exons. The record is from RefSeq and is a predicted model, not a curated record.
CUUGGCUUGGUUGUUUCCUUGUUCUAUGGUAUCUCCGAUGGAAUGAUUACUCUGUUUCCCUGAUCUAAGCUCCUCUAGAUCAAAUACAGUUCUUGUACCCGAGACUGUGGUGCAUUCUAAACACUAAAGGCUACAAACCUCCGGACAAAUCAACAUUUUCACGGUUGAGUCCUGUAUAAACUGCCUACCUGAAAUAUAUACAUAAGAUUUAAUCAGUGCAAAUAGAGGUGAGCCGAAGAGAAAGAGUUCAUGCUCGCUCUUAUGUUUGUAGUUAUUACCUGGUCUCCUAUAGGUAAAAAUGAGCAC